UGAGGAAUAUUGGUCAAUGGACGAAAGUCUGAACCAGCCAUGCCGCGUGCAGGACGAAGGCCCUAUGGGUUGUAAACUGCUUUUCUAUGGGGAUAAACCUCCUUACGUGUAGGGAGCUGAAGGUACCAUAGGAAUAAGCACCGGCUAACUCCGUGCCAGCAGCCGCGGUAAUACGGAGGGUGCAAGCGUUAUCCGGAUUUAUUGGGUUUAAAGGGUCCGUAGGCGGACAAUUAAGUCAGUGGUGAAAUCCUGCGGCUCAACCGUAGAACUGCCAUUGAUACUGGUUGUCUAGAGUAUAGUUGAGGUGGGCGGAAUGUGACAUGUAGCGGUGAAAUGCAUAGAUAUGUCACAGAACACCUAUUGCGAAGGCAGCUCACUAAGCUAUUACUGACGCUGAGGG
Molecule: ribosomal RNA, 400 nt
Filed under: uncultured bacterium
Lineage: Bacteria
Description: bacterial SSU rRNA
Rfam family: Bacterial small subunit ribosomal RNA
Source: RNAcentral